GACGUAGGGCGCGAGCGUUGUCCGGAUUUAUUGGGCGUAAAGAGCUCGUAGGCGGCUUGUCGCGUCGACUGUGAAAACCCGCGGCUCAACCGCGGGCCUGCAGCCGAUACGGGCAGGCUAGAGUUCGGUAGGGGAGACUGGAAUUCCUGGUGUAGCGGUGAAAUGCGUAGAUAUCGGGAGGAACACCAGUGGCGAAGGCGACUUCCUGGCCUGUUCUUGACGCUGAGGCGCGAAAGCUAGGGGAGCAAACGGG
RNAcentral lists this ribosomal RNA (253 nucleotides) under uncultured bacterium. Its description in RNAcentral is "partial 16S ribosomal RNA". It matches the Rfam family "Bacterial small subunit ribosomal RNA", at positions 524 to 776 of the family's 1533-position model. The record is from RNAcentral.